UAGUGACCGAUAGUGAACCAGUACCGUGAGGGAAAGGUGAAAAGCACCCCGGGAGGGGAAUGAAAGAGAACCUGAAACCGUAUGUUUACAAGCAGUCGAAGACCGCUUAAUAAUAAGGUCAACGGCGUGCCUAUUGAAGAAUGAACCGGCGAGUUAUGAGGUCCAGCAAGGUUAAGCAGGAAAUGCGGAGCCGAAGCGAAAGCGAGUCUUAAGAGGGCGAAAGUUGCAUGCAGUAGACCCGAAACCGGGUGAUCUAUCCAUGUCCAGGUUGAAGCUGCCGUAAGAGGUAGUGGAGGACCGAACCCACAUCCGUUGAAAAGGGUGGGGAUGAGGUGUGGAUAGGGGAGAAAUUCCAAUCGAACCCGGAGAUAGCUGGUUCUCCCCGAAAUAGUUUUAGGACUAGCCUCAAGUUAGAUACCUGGAGGUAAAGCACUGAAUAGCCUAGCGGCCGAGAGGUUAGCGAAGCUUAUCAAACUCAGAAUGCCAGAGUAUUGAUGCUUGGGAGUCAGACAGUGUCAGAUAAAUGUCAUUGUCAAAAGGGAAACAGCCCAGAUCUACAGCUAAGGUCCCAAAGUCAGGUUAAGUGGAAAACGAUGUGAAGAUACGCAGACAACCAGGAUGUUGGCUCAGAAGCAGCCACUCAUUCAAAGAGUGCGUAAUAGCUCACUGGUCGAGCGUCUUUGCGCGGAGAAUUUAACGGGGCUAAACCUGACACCGAAGCUUAGGCAAUACAGUAAUGUAUUGGGUAGGGGAGCGUUGUAUACGCGGAGAAACAGUAGCGCAAGCGGCUGUGGAGUGUAUAGAAGUGAGAAUGCCGGAAUGAGUAGCGCGAAUGCAGUGAGAAUCUGCAUGGCCGAAAGCCUCAGGUUUCUGGAGGAAGGUUCGUCCGCUCCAAGUUAGGCGGGAGCUAAGGUGAGGCCGAAAGGCGUAGCCGAUGCACAGACGGUAGAGAUUCCGUCACCACCAAAAGAGUUAAGCACAGGGACACAUAUGAAGUCUCAGAGCCGGGUGUUGGUUCCGGUAGAGAUCGAGGGAAGUUAGUACCGAAGUCUGAGAUGGAAGAUGGCGAGAAAAGCUGUGUGUAUUUCUGAGGUGCCCGUACCGCAAACCGACACAGGUAGGUAGGAAGAAGAUUCUAAGGCCAACGGGAGAAGGGUUGUUAAGGAACUCGGCAAAUUGACCCCGUAACUUCGGGAGAAGGGGUGCUCCAGAGAUGGAGCCGCAGAGAAUCGGCCCAAGCAACUGUUUACCAAAAACACAGGUUUGUGCUAAAUCGAAAGAUGACGUAUACGAGCUGACGCCUGCCCGGUGCUGGAAGGUUAAGAGGAGAUGUGCAAGCAUUGAAUCGAAGCCCCAGUGAACGGCGGCCGUAACUAUAACGGUCCUAAGGUAGCGAAAUUCCUUGUCGGGUAAGUUCCGACCCGCACGAAAGGCGUAAUGAUUUGAGCGCUGUCUCGACAAUGCAUCCGGUGAAAUUGAAGUACCAGUGAAGAUGCUGGUUACCUGCGCCAGGACGGAAAGACCCCAUGGAGCUUUACUCCAGCUUGAUACUGGGAUUCGGUAUUGCAUGUACAGGAUAGGUGGGAGGCUAGGAAAUGGUAACGCCAGUUGCCAUGGAGCCGCUGUUGGGAUACCACCCUUGCAGUAUUGGAUUUCUAACCUGCAGCCGUGAACCGGCUGGGGGACAAUGUCAGGCGGGGAGUUUGACUGGGGCGGUCGCCUCCGAAAGGGUAUCGGAGGCGCUCAAAGGUUCCCUCAGAAUGGUUGGAAACCAUUCGAAGAGUGCAAAGGCAGAAGGGAGCUUGACUGCGACACCGACGGGUGGAGCAGGUACGAAAGUAGGACUUAGUGAUCCGGUGGUAUAAAGUGGGAUUGCCAUCGCUCAACGGAUAAAAGCUACCCUGGGGAUAACAGGCUUAUCACUCCCAAGAGUUCACAUCGACGGAGUGGUUUGGCACCUCGAUGUCGGCUCAUCGCAUCCUGGGGCUGUAGUAGGUCCCAAGGGUUGGGCUGUUCGCCCAUUAAAGCGGUACGCGAGCUGGGUUCAGAACGUCGUGAGACAGUUCGGUCCCUAU
Molecule: ribosomal RNA, 2075 nt
Filed under: human gut metagenome
Description: bacterial LSU rRNA
Rfam family: Bacterial large subunit ribosomal RNA
Source: RNAcentral